UGCCCCCGCUCACCGCCUCCCGUCUCCGGCCCCCAGCCCCGGCAUUGGCUCUCCUCCUCUCACGGAAAGGUCGCCGCCUGUGGCCCUGCGGGCAGCCAUGCCGAGAUGAACCCCAGUGGCCCCAGCUACCCCACGUCCUCGCUCUACGUGGGGGACCUCCAUCCCGACGUGACCCACGCGAUGCUCUAAAGUUCAGCCAGGCCUGGCCCAUCCUCUCCAUCCGGGUCUGCAGGGACAUGAUCACCCGCUGCUCCUUGGGCUACGCGUAUGUGAACUUCCAGCGGCCGGCGGACGCGGAGCAUGCUGUGAACACUAUGAAUUUUGAUGUUAUAAAGGGCAAGGCAGUAGGCAUCGUGUGGUCUCAGCGUGAUCCAUCACUUCACAGAAGUGGAGUGGGCUGCGUAUAUUAAAAAUCUGGACAAAUCCAUUGAUAAUAAGCACUGUAUGAUACAUUUUCUCCUUUUGGUAACAUCCUUUCAUGUAAGGUGGUCUGUGAUGAGAAUGAUUCCAAGGACUAUGGAUUUGUACACUUUGAGACACAGGAAGCAGCUGGAAGAGCUAUGGAAAAAAUGAAUAGAAUGCUCCUAAAUGAUCGCAAGGUACUUGUUGCACGAUUUACGUCUCGUAAAGAACGAGAAACUGAACUUGGAGCUAGGGCAAAAGAGUUCACCAAUGUUUACGUUAAGGAUUUUGGAGAAGACAUGGAUGAUGAGCGCCUUAAGGAUCUCUUUGGCAAGUUUCGGCCUACCUUAAAUGUGAAAGUAAUGACUGAUGAAAGUGGAAAAUCCAAAGGAUUUGGAUUUGUAAGCUUUGAAAGGCUUGAAGAUGCACAGAAAGCUGUGGAUGAAAUGAAUGGAAGGGAGCUCAGUGGAAAAGAAAUUUAUGUUGGUAGAGCUCAGAAAAAAGUGAAACGGCAGACAGAACUUAAGCGCAAGUUUGAACAGAUGAAGCAAGAUAGGAUCACCAGAUUCCACGGUGUUAAUCUUUAUGUGAAAAAUCUUGAUGAUGGCAUUGAUGAUGAACGUCUCCGGAAAGAGUUUUCUCCAUUUGGUACAAUCACUAGUGCAAAGGUUAUGAUGGAGGGUGAUCGCAGCAAAAGGUUUGGUUUUGUAUGUUUCUCCUCACCAGAAGAAGCUACUAAAGCAGUUACAGAAAUGAAUGGUAGAAUUGUGGCCACAAAGCCAUUGUAUGUAGCUUUAGCUCAGCGCAAAGAAGAGUGCCAGGCUCACCUCACUAACCAGUAUAUGCAGAGAAUGGCAAGUGUAUGAGCUAUGCCCAACCCUGUAAUCAACCCCUACCAGCCAGCACCUCCUUCAGGUUACUUCAUGGCAGCUCUCCCACAGACUCAGAACGGUGCUGCAUACCAUCCUUCUAGCCAAAUUGCUCAACGAAGACCAAGUCCUCGCUGGAUUGCCUAGGGGGCCAGACCUCAUCCAUUCCAAAAUAUGCCCAGUGCUAUCCGCCCAGCUGCUCCUAGACCACCAUUUGGUACUAUAAGACCAGCUUCUUCACAGGUUCCACGAGUCAUGUCAACACAGCGUGUUGCUAACACAUCAACACAGACAAUGGGUCCAUGUCCUGCAGCUGCUGCUGUGCAACUCCACAUUAUAACUAUGCUGCAGGAAAGAUUUCGCU
RNA transcript from Mandrillus leucophaeus (drill), 1635 nucleotides. It is a transcript of the gene named polyadenylate-binding protein 1 pseudogene, with no coding region annotated. Lineage: Eukaryota; Metazoa; Chordata; Mammalia; Primates; Cercopithecidae. The transcript has 2 exons. The record is from RefSeq and is a predicted model, not a curated record.